This is a long non-coding RNA of Cyprinus carpio carpio, 1686 nucleotides long. The record is from Ensembl. Lineage: Eukaryota; Metazoa; Chordata; Actinopteri; Cypriniformes; Cyprinidae.
GGAAAGAUACAGGGUGUCUCGUCCUGAUGAUUGGAUAAGCACAUCAGGCCACAUGAAAAUGAGAGGAAAACAAAAGAGACGAGGUGAAAGUCACACAGAGACGCCCGACUGAGAUGAGAGAGAGAGAGAGAGAGACAGAAACAGGAAAUGUGAGCGUCUUCCUCUUCCUCCAGAACACUUAAAAUGCUCAUCUGUGUUUCCUCAUUGUGCAGUGAUGGCAUGCAUAAUCAGCGUUCCUGAUGUCAUACGGUGUCAGAGAGGGUUUGAACCGCCGGCGUCUCUCUCUGAUGAAGAUGUGAUGGGAUGUUCUUCCCCGCCGAGACUCGUGCAAUGCUGUCAGAUCCUCCUCGGGCUCCAUUUGGGAGUUUCUGCAGGUUUUUGCUGUGAGCGUGUGAAGAACUGAACGCUGGAGUAAUUACGCUCUGCUGGCUUGCUGAAUUUCACAGGCUUUCAGGAACAAACCACUCAAACACAAAUCCACAGACGUUCUUCCUGAACUCGCCAGACAAUUGUGCUGCUGAAGGUCUCAGCGGCCCUGAAAGAAGCCUGCUGUCUACGGAGAGUUGAGGAUAUUGUCAGCGCUGAGCCAGGAGAGCUGCGUCUGAGUUUGUCAUGAGGAUCUUUAGAGAGUCUUCUGGCGUUGUUACAGAUGAGAGCUGCCAUGUGUGCUAAAAUCGUUAAAGAAUCAGUGUUUGUUCACUGUUACUCUCUAGGGGCCCUAAUAGGGGAACUAGAGCACAAUGACUGAGAUUCAGGGCUCAGUGGGCUCUAGUACAUCAUCUCUCAACUGCAAUGCAGCAGAUCCAGACCUGCCUGAUGUACCGACCGCUGUGACUGACUCAAGACAUCCCCAAAAUCCCAUUACCCUCAUCCGUCUUCUGCUUCUGCAACAUCCUGCUGGUGAUCACGCAGGUCUUCAAAGAUGCAAGCAUUUGGUGAAACAAAACAGCUGCUUAUUUAAAUGUUUUAAAGGAGUAGUUUGCCCCAAAAAUUGACAUGUCGAUCCAAACCCAUGUGAUUUUCUUUCUUUCAUGAAAAUAAGUGCAGUGAUGGUGUAUGAUAUCUUUGUGUGAUGAGUAAACUUGUUUUGACUGAUAAUCUUUCCCCUUCAUCGAAGAUCUGAAAUGGACUACAAAAAUGAGACAACGACAUCAUUUGAUGUUCAUUUGACUGAUUCAAAAUACCUUUGCUUCUCUCUUGUCCCAUAAGCAAAUGUAAUUUCAAACCUGAUGCAGCACAUUGAAAAACACUUCAUAUUUGUUUUAGCUACAGAUUUUCAGUAUACAGUGUCUUAUAUAUAUAUAGUAUUUAUGCCUACGCACACAAAUUGUUCAAAAGUUUGGGGUUGGUAAGAUUUUUUUACAAGCUUUCGAUAGACAUCUCUUAUGCUCACAAAGGCUGCAUUUAUUUAAAGAAAAUCACAGUAAAAACAGUGAUAUUGUGAAAAAUUAUUAUAAUUCAAAAUAUUCUAUUUACUAAUUUAAUAUAUUUUAAAAUACAAUUUAUUUCUGAUUCAAAACUGAAUUUUUUAGCAUCAUUACUUCAGUCUUCAGUGUCACAUGAUCUUCAGAAAUCAUUCUAAUAUGCUAAUUUGCUGCUCAAGAAACAUUUCUAAUUAUUAUCAAUGUUGGAAACAGUUGUGCUGCUUUAUAUUUUUCUGUGAACUGUGAUCAGUUUUAUUUUCAG